Molecule: long non-coding RNA, 270 nt
Filed under: Elaeis guineensis (African oil palm)
Lineage: Eukaryota; Viridiplantae; Streptophyta; Magnoliopsida; Arecales; Arecaceae
Description: long non-coding RNA (EGUI_LNC002102)
Source: RNAcentral
GAUGCUAUAGUUGUAUGAAUGUUCUUUUGACCUGCGAUGGUAUGAUUGCUCAUAGUGAGGCUACUGAAGUUUGACUGACAUACAAAUAUGAUCUCAAUGAGCUCUUGUAGUAGAUAUUGGUGACAGUUGAUCCACUGUAGGAGUAGGGUGCAUUCAAGAAAAGAUCUAUCGAUCUUGAUAGAAAAGAGUAGUCCUAUGAGAUUUGAGAGGCUAAGUCCAAGAGUCUGUGGCCACAGCAGUGUGAUUAUAGAAAAAAAUUUCUAUAAGGAU